AACGGUUUGGUCUGCGCCAGAUUUAGGCUCUUGUCCGAAAGGGCGUGGGUUCAAAUCCCACAGCCGUCA
This 69-nucleotide transfer RNA is filed under the name Ipomoea nil (Japanese morning glory). It matches the Rfam family "tRNA". Rfam says of the family: Transfer RNA (tRNA) molecules are approximately 80 nucleotides in length. Their secondary structure includes four short double-helical elements and three loops (D, anti-codon, and T loops). Lineage: Eukaryota; Viridiplantae; Streptophyta; Magnoliopsida; Solanales; Convolvulaceae. The record is from Rfam by way of RNAcentral.